GCUCAACCGAGGAAGUGCUUCGAAAACUGGUAAACUUGAGUGCAGAAGAGGAAAGUGGAACUCCAUGUGUAGCGGUGGAAUGCGUAGAUAUAUGGAAGAACACCAGUGGCGAAGGCGGCUUUCUGGUCUGUAACUGACGCUGAGAUUCGAAAGCAUGGGUAGCAAACAGGAUUAGAUACCCUGGUAGUCCAUGCCGUAAACGAUGAGUGCUAAGUGUUGGAGGGUUUCCGCCCUUCAGUGCUGCAGCUAACGCAUUAAGCACUCCGCCUGGGGAGUACGAUCGCAAGAUUGAAACUCAAAGGAAUUGACGGGGGCCCGCACAAGCGGUGGAGCAUGUGGUUUAAUUCGAAGCAACGCGAAGAACCUUACCAGGUCUUGACAUACCAUGAAAAGCUUAGAGAUAAGUCUUUCCCUUCGGGGACAUGGAUACAGGUGGUGCAUGGUUGUCGUCAGCUCGUGUCGUGAGAUGUUGGGUUAAGUCCCGCAACGAGCGCAACCCUUAUUAUCAGUUGCCAGCAUUCAGUUGGGCACUCUGGUGAGACUGCCGGUGAUAAACCGGAGGAAGGUGGGGACGACGUCAAAUCAUCAUGCCCCUUACGACCUGGGCUACACACGUGCUACAAUGGUCGGUACAACG
Molecule: ribosomal RNA, 637 nt
Filed under: uncultured bacterium
Lineage: Bacteria
Description: bacterial SSU rRNA
Rfam family: Bacterial small subunit ribosomal RNA
Source: RNAcentral